CCUACGGGUGGCAGCAGUGAGGAAUAUUGGUCAAUGGACGAGAGUCUGAACCAGCCAAGUAGCGUGAAGGAUGACUGCCCUAUGGGUUGUAAACUUCUUUUAUAUGGGAAUAAAAUGUUCCACGUGUGGGAUUUUGUAUGUACCAUAUGAAUAAGGAUCGGCUAACUCCGUGCCAGCGGCCGCGGUAAUACGGAGGAUCCGAGCGUUAUCCGGAUUUAUUGGGUUUAAGGGGAGCGGAGGUGGAUUGUUAAGUCAGUUGUGAAAGUUUGCGGAGAAAGCGUAAAAUUGCAGUUGAAACUGGCAGGCUUGAGUACAGUAGAGGUGGGCGGAAUGCGUGGUGUAGCGGUGAAAUGCUUAGAUAUCACGCAGAACUCCGAUUGCGAAGGCAGUUCACUGGACUGCAACUGACACUGAGGCUCGAAAGUGUGGGUAUCAAACAGGAUUAGAUACCCGUGUAGUC
Molecule: ribosomal RNA, 460 nt
Filed under: uncultured bacterium
Lineage: Bacteria
Description: partial 16S ribosomal RNA
Rfam family: Bacterial small subunit ribosomal RNA
Source: RNAcentral